Gossypium arboreum is the source of this 669-nucleotide long non-coding RNA. RefSeq lists it as uncharacterized. The transcript has 2 exons. The record is from RefSeq and is a predicted model, not a curated record. NCBI's taxonomy places the organism in Eukaryota, Viridiplantae, Streptophyta, Magnoliopsida, Malvales, Malvaceae.
AGUAAAAUAAACAAAUAAAAACCCAUAAAUAAGAAAACAGUAAAAAGAAUGGAAGGGAGCUGAAGAACUUACUAAGGAAUAAGACAAGAUGGGCAUUUGUAUUUGGAUUGAGUUUGGUUGCAAACUUGACACUGCCGUGAAGGACCUCCCAUUUUUUUUUUCUUCUUCGCCAAAUAACAAAGCAAAAAAAAAAAAAAAAAAGCGUUUUUAAUGUUUGAUUUGGGGCGUUGAAAAUUAACCCAAGAAAACAAAAGUAGCUAUUGAUUGGAGGAAGAAGAAAGGUAAGACGAUGGCGGGGCUGAGACGAUUGCCUCCUUUCCAAACUCCUAAGAAACCAGAAAAAGCGACUGACGGAGAGACGUUACCGUUGAGAGAGAGUGACGAACGGUGGCGGCAGCCGACAGAUGAGGAGUAGAGGCGGAAACCGGCGGACAGAGGAGAAAUGUGAAGCUGGCACCAGCAGGGGGAACGGCCGACUGGCGACGGAGGUGAAGACGGGGGUCAGCCAGCAGGGAUGUUUUCUUCUAUUUUGGUUUUGUGAAUUUAGGUUUUUGGGUUUUUAAUUUUGGCUUAAUUGAACAGAGACCCUUAAACUAUGGUGUCUGUAUAAGUUAGAUACUAAAGUUUUUUUUGUCGGGUCUGUAAUCAAAGUUUCGCCUUGCCUUCGGA